GGGGGGGGUGCUUACCUGCAGUCGAACGCUGAAGCACCAGCUUGCUGGUGUGGAUGAGUGGCGAACGGGUGAGUAAUACGUGAGUAACCUGCCCUUGACUCUGGGAUAAGCCCGGGAAACUGGGUCUAAUACUGGAUGCUACAUGUCACCGCAUGGUGGUGUGUGGAAAGGGUUUACUGGUCUUGGAUGGGCUCACGGCCUAUCAGCUUGUUGGUGAGGUAAUGGCUCACCAAGGCGACGACGGGUAGCCGGCCUGAGAGGGUGACCGGCCACACUGGGACUGAGACACGGCCCAGACUCCUACGGGAGGCAGCAGUGGGGAAUAUUGCACAAUGGGCGAAAGCCUGAUGCAGCGACGCCGCGUGAGGGAUGACGGCCUUCGGGUUGUAAACCUCUUUCAGCAGGGAAGAAGCCACAAGUGACGGUACCUGCAGAAGAAGCGCCGGCUAACUACGUGCCAGCAGCCGCGGUAAUACGUAGGGCGCAAGCGUUGUCCGGAAUUAUUGGGCGUAAAGAGCUCGUAGGCGGUUUGUCGCGUCUGCUGUGAAAGCCCGGGGCUUAACCCCGGGUGUGCAGUGGGUACGGGCAGACUAGAGUGCAGUAGGGGAGACUGGAAUUCCUGGUGUAGCGGUGGAAUGCGCAGAUAUCAGGAGGAACACCGAUGGCGAAGGCAGGUCUCUGGGCUGUUACUGACGCUGAGGAGCGAAAGCAUGGGGAGCGAACAGGAUUAGAUACCCUGGUAGUCCAUGCCGUAAACGUUGGGCACUAGGUGUGGGGGACAUUCCACGUUUUCCGCGCCGUAGCUAACGCAUUAAGUGCCCCGCCUGGGGAGUACGGCCGCAAGGCUAAAACUCAAAGGAAUUGACGGGGGCCCGCACAAGCGGCGGAGCAUGCGGAUUAAUUCGAUGCAACGCGAAGAACCUUACCAGGCUUGACAUAUACCGGAUCGUUCAA
Molecule: ribosomal RNA, 954 nt
Filed under: Kocuria sp.
Lineage: Bacteria; Bacillati; Actinomycetota; Actinomycetes; Micrococcales; Micrococcaceae
Description: bacterial SSU rRNA
Rfam family: Bacterial small subunit ribosomal RNA
Source: RNAcentral